Molecule: long non-coding RNA, 575 nt
Filed under: Salvator merianae (Argentine black and white tegu)
Lineage: Eukaryota; Metazoa; Chordata; Lepidosauria; Squamata; Teiidae
Description: lncRNA (ENSSMRG00000002697.1)
Source: RNAcentral
CCAGGGCCUGCUCAUGAUGCAGGAUGUAACUCCUGGAGGCGGUUGCCUAGCAACUGUCUCCGGCCGAUGCAGAGGCACUCAGCUGGCGAGGAGCAACUGGGGGGGCAAGGGAGCCCCCGGUUCGCACCAAAGAGACAGCAGGAGGUGGAGGGGGCAGUGAGGAACCACCUGCCCUGGCUGGGGCUCACAGGGCUCCAGCAUCGCAUGAGGGGGGAGCCCCGCUCCAGCCGCUGACACCAUGGGCAGCUGUGGGCGAGCGGAGAGCCACAGCCGGAGCGGCAUGGUGGGAACGGACGCCGAACAGGCAGGGACAUUUUCACGUGGCAGAAACGCAGCUCACACGCAGCCCGCAGCAUGCGGUCAACGGCACCCAGGCGGUGGGUGUACAGUCCAGGCGCCUGCCGUGAGCCCACUCAGACAUGCAAGCUGGGGGCCCUCCUGUGCCCGGGAAACUACGUACGUGUGCGUGACAUUGUAGCGGAUGCAACAGCACACCUACGGACGAUCUCAGGAUGCCCUCUUCUGCGCACAGGCUGCGAGCGAGCGAGCACCCGCACGCACCCACAGGAUCACAG